This 253-nucleotide ribosomal RNA is filed under the name uncultured prokaryote. RNAcentral's name for it is "partial 16S ribosomal RNA". It matches the Rfam family "Bacterial small subunit ribosomal RNA", at positions 525 to 777 of the family's 1533-position model. The record is from RNAcentral.
ACGGAGGGUGCAAGCGUUAUCCGGAUUCACUGGGUUUAAAGGGUGCGUAGGUGGGCAGGUAAGUCAGUGGUGAAAUCCUCCAGCUUAACUGGAGAACUGCCAUUGAUACUGAAAGACUUGAGUACAGACGAGGUAGGCGGAAUUGACAGUGUAGCGGUGAAAUGCAUAGAUAUUGUCAAGAACACCGAUUGCGAAGGCAGCUUACUAGACUGUAACUGACGCUGAGGCACGAAAGUGCGGGGAUCAAACAGGA